GGAAGCUUUCUCUGAACAUGCUAGGAAGUCAAGAGGGAAGAAUCUGUCCAGCUUAUUGUUUUGCUGAUUGACCAGCUGUUACAUUCAAUUGAUCCUAAGACAGGUUGGAUGUGUACAGGACGCUGGCUUUCAAGAAGACAAUGCUGCGCUGCCUCAGACACGAGGAAAAAUAUUCUCAACAUUCUGUAUGCUGUGGGAAGCAGGCAACUCCUGCAAGUUCAUUAGAUGCCCCUAAUUGCUAAGAACACAUUCAGGAAGUAUGGUAAA
Canis lupus familiaris (dog) is the source of this 267-nucleotide long non-coding RNA. RefSeq lists it as uncharacterized. Lineage: Eukaryota; Metazoa; Chordata; Mammalia; Carnivora; Canidae. The record is from RefSeq and is a predicted model, not a curated record. The transcript has 2 exons.